RNAcentral lists this non-coding RNA (31 nucleotides) under Homo sapiens (human). Lineage: Eukaryota; Metazoa; Chordata; Mammalia; Primates; Hominidae. The record is from RNAcentral.
UAGACAGGUCAGUGCAAAGCUGGAAAGGAGC